AUCUCCCGCUUGCGGGGGUGAUUAGUGGCGAACGGGUGAGUAAUACGUGAGUAACCUGCCCUUGACUCUGGGAUAAGCCUGGGAAACCGGGUCUAAUACUGGAUACGACUCUUCAUCGCAUGGUGGGGGGUGGAAAGGGUUUGACUGGUUUUGGAUGGGCUCACGGCCUAUCAGCUUGUUGGUGGGGUAAUGGCUCACCAAGGCGACGACGGGUAGCCGGCCUGAGAGGGUGACCGGCCACACUGGGACUGAGACACGGCCCAGACUCCUACGGGAGGCAGCAGUGGGGAAUAUUGCACAAUGGGCGGAAGCCUGAUGCAGCGACGCCGCGUGAGGGAUGACGGCCUUCGGGUUGUAAACCUCUUUCAGCAGGGAAGAAGCCACAAGUGACGGUACCUGCAGAAGAAGCGCCGGCUAACUACGUGCCAGCAGCCGCGGUAAUACGUAGGGCGCAAGCGUUGUCCGGAAUUAUUGGGCGUAAAGAGCUCGUAGGCGGUUUGUCGCGUCUGCUGUGAAAGCCCGGGGCUCAACCCCGGGUCUGCAGUGGGUACGGGCAGACUAGAGUGCAGUAGGGGAGACUGGAAUUCCUGGUGUAGCGGUGAAAUGCGCAGAUAUCAGGAGGAACACCGAUGGCGAAGGCAGGUCUCUGGGCUGUUACUGACGCUGAGGAGCGAAAGCAUGGGGAGCGAACAGGAUUAGAUACCCUGGUAGUCCAUGCCGUAAACGUUGGGCACUAGGUGUGGGGGACAUUCCACGUUCUCCGCGCCGUAGCUAACGCA
Molecule: ribosomal RNA, 779 nt
Filed under: Kocuria sp.
Lineage: Bacteria; Bacillati; Actinomycetota; Actinomycetes; Micrococcales; Micrococcaceae
Description: bacterial SSU rRNA
Rfam family: Bacterial small subunit ribosomal RNA
Source: RNAcentral